GGCGGGGCGGACAGGUCUGGGCGGAGCAGGAGGCGGAGGCGCCGCGUAGGCCCGGGAGGCCGGGCCGGCCGGGCUGCGGGCCCCUGCCCCAUGCGCCGCCGCCUCCCCGCACGAUGUUCCCCUCGCGGAGGAAAGCGGCGCAGCUGCCCUGGGAGGACGGCAGGUCCAGGUUGCUGUCCGGCAGCCUCCCUCGGAAAUGUUCCGUCUUCCACCUCUUCGUGGCCUGUCUCUUACUGGGCUUCUUCUCCCUACUCUGGCUGCAGCUCAGCUGCUCUGGUGAUGUAGGCCGGGCAGCCAGGGGACAAGGGCAGGAGACCUCGGGCCCUCCUCGGGCCUGCCCCCCAGAGCCACCCCCUGAGCAGUGGGAAGAAGACGCAUCGUGGGGCCCCCACCGCUUGGCAGUGCUGGUGCCCUUCCGCGAACGCUUCGAGGAGCUCCUGGUCUUUGUGCCCCACAUGCACCGCUUCCUGAGCAGGAAGAAGAUCCAGCACCACAUCUAUGUACUCAACCAGGUGGACCACUUCAGGUUCAACCGGGCGGCGCUUAUCAACGUGGGCUUCCUGGAGAGCAGCAACAGCACGGACUACAUUGCCAUGCAUGACGUUGACCUGCUCCCUCUCAACGAGGAGCUAGACUAUGGCUUUCCUGAGGCUGGGCCCUUCCAUGUGGCCUCCCCGGAGCUCCACCCUCUCUACCACUACAAGACUUAUGUCGGCGGCAUCCUGCUGCUCUCCAAGCAGCACUACCAGCUGGUUCCAGGCCCCAUGAGAGCGGGAGAGGGACUGGGAUGUACUGCUUCCUGCCGCCCCCAGCACUGCAGAGGUGGAGGAGCCUGUAAGCACCUGGCGCUUACUCAGAACCGCCCGGGGAGAGGGGCACUCCCAAGCGGUAGGAGACCAAAGGCCCCCACCGGGAGGAUGGGGCGAGUGACGCUGCUUGUCUCUGUGUCAGUGCAAUGGGAUGUCCAACCGCUUCUGGGGCUGGGGCCGCGAGGACGAUGAGUUCUACCGGCGCAUUAAAGGAGCUGGGCUGCAGCUUUUCCGCCCCUCGGGAAUCACAACUGGGUACAAGACAUUUCACCACCUGCAUGACCCAGCCUGGCGGAAGAGGGACCAGAAGCGCAUCGCGGCUCAAAAACAGGAGCAGUUCAAGGUGGACAGGGAGGGAGGCCUGAACACUGUGAAGUACCAAGUGGCUUCCCGCACUGCCCUGUCCGUGGGCGGGGCCCCCUGUACUGUCCUCAACAUCAUGUUGGACUGUGACAAGACCGCCACGCCCUGGUGCACAUUCAGCUGAGUUGGAUGGACAGUGAGGAAGCCUGUACCUACAGGCCACAUUGCUAAGGCUCAGGACAAGGCCUCAGGUCCCAGGCCCAGCUCCGACAGGAUGUGGGGUGGCCAUGACCAAGACAGCAAGCUACUCAGUUGCAGCCAGCUGGCUGCCAAGGCGGGCUUGAGCUGGGCCAGGACACGUGGGGUGCCUGGGACGCUGCUAGCCAUGCACAGUGAUCAGAGAGCGGCUGGGGAUCCCCCAAGCAAAAUGGAAACGCCUCCACCUCCCACCCUCAAAAGCACCCAACAAUGGACCCUGGGCACCGGGGGCCUCAUAGGGAAUUGUUUGCAUCACAGUAAAAUCUACAAAGUUCCCA
RNA transcript from Piliocolobus tephrosceles (Ugandan red Colobus), 1648 nucleotides. It is a transcript of the gene named beta-1,4-galactosyltransferase 7, with no coding region annotated. NCBI's taxonomy places the organism in Eukaryota, Metazoa, Chordata, Mammalia, Primates, Cercopithecidae. The transcript is spliced from 6 exons. The record is from RefSeq and is a predicted model, not a curated record.